RNAcentral lists this transfer RNA (64 nucleotides) under Acherontia styx. Its description in RNAcentral is "tRNA-Ala". The record is from RNAcentral. Lineage: Eukaryota; Metazoa; Arthropoda; Insecta; Lepidoptera; Sphingidae.
AGGAUUAUAGUUUAAAAAAAACAUUUAAUUUGCAAUUAAAAAAUAUUGAAUUUCAAUUUAUCUU